This is a non-coding RNA of Acanthosepion pharaonis, 107 nucleotides long. NCBI's taxonomy places the organism in Eukaryota, Metazoa, Mollusca, Cephalopoda, Sepiida, Sepiidae. The record is from the annotation of a GenBank genome assembly.
AUCAUACCAUGUUGAAACACCGGUUGUCAUAUGAUCACUGAAGUUAAGCAACGUUGAGCCUAGUCCGUAGCUAGAUGAGUGACCGCUUGGGAAUACCAAAUGUUGUA